This 57-nucleotide non-coding RNA is filed under the name Ixodes ricinus (castor bean tick). The record is from RNAcentral. Lineage: Eukaryota; Metazoa; Arthropoda; Arachnida; Ixodida; Ixodidae.
UCGCCGUCCGGUCCGUUCGUCGAGUCCGCCACUCGACGUAGCGCCCGCACUCCCCGC